Molecule: ribosomal RNA, 497 nt
Filed under: uncultured bacterium
Lineage: Bacteria
Description: partial 16S ribosomal RNA
Rfam family: Bacterial small subunit ribosomal RNA
Source: RNAcentral
GAUGAACGCUGGCGGCGUGCCUAAUACAUGCAAGUCGAACGGACGGACGAGAAGCUUGCUUCUUUGAUGUUAGCGGAGCACGGGUGAGUAACACGUGUAACACCUACCUAUAAGACUGGGAUAACUUCGGAAAACCGUAGCUAACACCGGAUAAUAUUUUGCACCGCAUGGUUCAAAAGUAAAAGACGGCCUUGCUGUCACUAAUAGAUGGAUCCGCGCUGCAUUAGCUAGUUGGUAAGGUAACGGCUUACCAAGGCAACGAUGCAUAGCCGACCUGAGAGGGUGAUCGGCCACACUGGAACUUAGACACGGUCCAGACGCCUACGGGAGGCAGCAGUAGGGAAUCUGCCGCAAUAGGCGAAAGCCUGACGGAGCGGCGCCGCGUGAGUGAUGAAGGUCUUGGGAUCGUAAAACUCUGUUAUUAGGGAAGAACAUAUGUGUAAGUAACUGUGGACAGCGUGACGGUACCUAGUAAAAAAGCCACGGCUAACUACGUG